CCUACGGGAGGCAGCAGUAAGGAAUAUUGGACAAUGGGCGGAAGCCUGAUCCAGCCAUGCCGCGUGCAGGAAGAAGGCCCUAUGGGUUGUAAACUGCUUUUGCAGGGGAGAAAUAAGGUUGAUUUAUCGACCGAUGAUAGUACUCUGCGAAUAAGCAUCGGCUAGCUUCGUGCCAGCAGCCGCGGUAAU
RNAcentral lists this ribosomal RNA (189 nucleotides) under uncultured bacterium. Its description in RNAcentral is "partial 16S ribosomal RNA". It matches the Rfam family "Bacterial small subunit ribosomal RNA", at positions 338 to 524 of the family's 1533-position model. The record is from RNAcentral.